UUUGAUCCUGGCUCAGGACGAACGCUGGCGGCGCGCCUAACACAUGCAAGUCGAGCGAGAACCCGAGGAGGGGUAACCCUUCUCGGGGGAGAGCGGCGAACGGGUGAGUACCACGUGGGCAACCUGCCCCAGACUCUGGGAUAACCCCGGGAAACCGGAGCUAAUACCGGAUACUCUCGGCGGACCGCAUGAUCUGCCGAGGAAAGCUUUCGCGGUCUGGGAUGGGCCCGCGGCCUAUCAGCUUGUUGGUGAGGUAACGGCCCACCAAGGCGACGACGGGUAGCUGGUCUGAGAGGACGGCCAGCCACACUGGGACUGAGACACGGCCCAGACUCCUACGGGAGGCAGCAGUGGGGAAUCUUGCGCAAUGGGCGAAAGCCUGACGCAGCGACGCCGCGUGGGGGAUGAAGGCC
RNAcentral lists this ribosomal RNA (413 nucleotides) under uncultured bacterium. Its description in RNAcentral is "bacterial SSU rRNA". It matches the Rfam family "Bacterial small subunit ribosomal RNA", at positions 12 to 416 of the family's 1533-position model. The record is from RNAcentral.